AAAUAAUCAAUAAAAUUUAUCAAUAUUACAAUUAAAACGUAAUUUCUUCAUGAACAAAAAAUAAAAUUAUAUGAUAAUUCUGAUACAUAGGACUGAAGACCAAUGUCAAGUAAAAAUGUACAAUUCCGCUAUGUGUUUUUUUAAAAAAAAAUAUUAAGUGAUAUUCACCCUCACGACGUUCUCAAAUAGGAGUAGUAAAUAUCCAAUACUACGACUUGUUAUUUGAGUUACACCCAAUCUUCUAUUUCUAUAGAUGAAAAACUAUUAAGCGAGCCUCGGGCGUUGGGAGUUAGGCGUGUUUAAGGCGUACGGUCGGGCGCUUAGGGCGUAAGCCUCACAGGAACUAAGCCCCGCACGUUAGCCCCGGGGUGUUUUGCCACUGCCCUGCCCCGAAGCGAGCCACAGGGCGAGUCCUGACACUGCC
Lycium ferocissimum is the source of this 424-nucleotide long non-coding RNA. RefSeq lists it as uncharacterized. Lineage: Eukaryota; Viridiplantae; Streptophyta; Magnoliopsida; Solanales; Solanaceae. The transcript has 2 exons. The record is from RefSeq and is a predicted model, not a curated record.